GGAGAGGUGGCCGAGCGGUCAAAGGCGUACGCCUGGAGAGCGUAUGAGCUUAAUAGGCUCCGUGGGUUCAAAUCCCACCCUCUCCGCCA
This 89-nucleotide transfer RNA is filed under the name Mesoaciditoga lauensis. RNAcentral's name for it is "tRNA-Ser". It matches the Rfam family "tRNA". From Rfam's summary of the family: Transfer RNA (tRNA) molecules are approximately 80 nucleotides in length. Their secondary structure includes four short double-helical elements and three loops (D, anti-codon, and T loops). Further hydrogen bonds mediate the characteristic L-shaped molecular structure. tRNAs have two regions of fundamental functional importance: the anti-codon, which is responsible for specific mRNA codon recognition, and the 3' end, to which the tRNAs corresponding amino acid is attached (by aminoacyl-tRNA synthetases). tRNAs cope with the degeneracy of the genetic code in two manners: having more than one tRNA (with a specific anti-codon) for a particular amino acid; and 'wobble' base-pairing, i.e. permitting non-standard base-pairing at the 3rd anti-codon position. The record is from RNAcentral. Lineage: Bacteria; Thermotogati; Thermotogota; Thermotogae; Mesoaciditogales; Mesoaciditogaceae.